This 558-nucleotide long non-coding RNA is filed under the name Equus caballus (horse). RNAcentral describes it as "lncRNA (ENSECAG00000054532.1)". The record is from RNAcentral. Lineage: Eukaryota; Metazoa; Chordata; Mammalia; Perissodactyla; Equidae.
GGGGGCUCCCACAGGGGGUUAUCGGCCUCAGCACAGAUCCUUGCCUCAGGAGUAGAGCAGCAGCAGAAUAGCGUCUCCAUGAGAACGCGGCAGAGAAGAACACGCCUGCAGCUCAGACAUCCUGCUCAUCCACCGUCAGAGCCACUGUACUUUCUAUCGUUCCUGGAAGAAGAAAUCUCCAACUAGAGUAGAGCCUCAAGACAAGGCAGGACUUCAUUCUGCUAGAAAAUUCCAAAGUCUCACGGAAAAGAAGAGCUUUUUUCUCUCAUGAUUUCCAAGGAACGCGGGCUGUGGCCUUAAAUUCUCUUCCCACGUACUCUCCUUGCUCCUGCUUGCCAACUGCAGCCUCCCGGGGCUGUCCAAAUCCAUCUGUCAGGAGUCCAUGCAGACGAAAAUUGCGUUAGCUUUUGUAAAUCACUGUGAUGGUUUACUCCUGUUGUCCUUUUCAACAACUCCUGUAAUUGAAGAGGGACCCUUGAGAAACGACAGAGAAGAUUCUGUGACCCAAUCAGCUUCAGCAGAAGUGAGUGCUGGGUUUGUCUUCCAUGUGCUGCUCUC